This 72-nucleotide transfer RNA is filed under the name Camelus bactrianus (Bactrian camel). It matches the Rfam family "tRNA". Rfam says of the family: Transfer RNA (tRNA) molecules are approximately 80 nucleotides in length. RNAcentral also lists the same sequence under 1 other name. The record is from Rfam by way of RNAcentral. Lineage: Eukaryota; Metazoa; Chordata; Mammalia; Artiodactyla; Camelidae.
GAGGGUAUAGCUUAGUGGUAGAGCAUGUGCUUAGCAUGCACGAGGUCCUGGGUUCAAUCCCCUGUAUCUCCA